CCUACGGGGUGCUGCAGUGGGGAAUAUUGGACAAUGGGCGAAAGCCUGAUCCAGCCAUGCCGCGUGUGUGAAGAAGGGCUUCGGGUUGUAAAGCACUUUCAGUGGGGAAGAAAGCCUUGGGGCUAAUACCCUCGAGGAAGGACAUCACCCACAGAAGAAGCACCGGCUAACUCCGUGCCAGCAGCCGCGGUAAUACGGAGGGUGCGAGCGUUAAUCGGAAUUACUGGGCGUAAAGCGCGCGUAGGCGGUCUGAUAAGCCGGUUGUGAAAGCCCCGGGCUCAACCUGGGAACGGCAUCCGGAACUGUCAGGCUAGAGUGCAGGAGAGGAAGGUAGAAUUCCCGGUGCAGCGGUGAAAUGCGUAGAGAUCGGGAGGAAUACCAGUCGCGAAGGCGGCCUUCUGGACUGACACUGACGCUGAGGUGCGAAAGCGUGGGUAGCAAACAGGAUUAGAUACCCUUGUAGUC
This 465-nucleotide ribosomal RNA is filed under the name Vreelandella stevensii. Its description in RNAcentral is "partial 16S ribosomal RNA". It matches the Rfam family "Bacterial small subunit ribosomal RNA", at positions 338 to 795 of the family's 1533-position model. Lineage: Bacteria; Pseudomonadati; Pseudomonadota; Gammaproteobacteria; Oceanospirillales; Halomonadaceae. The record is from RNAcentral.